GAUGAACGCUGGCGGCGUGCCUAAUACAUGCAAGUCGAGCGAACGGACGAGAAGCUUGCUUCUCUGAUGUUAGCGGCGGACGGGUGAGUAACACGUGGAUAACCUACAUAUAAGACUGGGAUAACUUCGGGAAACCGUAGCUAAUACCGGAAAAUAUUUUGAACCGAAUGGUUCAAAAGUGAAAGACGGUCUUGCUGUCACUUAUAGAUGGAACCGCGCUGCAUUAGCUAGUUGGUAAGGUAACGGCUUACCAAGGCAACGAUGCAUAGCCGACCUGAGAGGUGGAUCGGCCACACUGGAACUGAGACACGGGCCAGACUCCGACGGGAGGCAGCAGUAGGGAAUCUUCCGCAAUGGGCGAAAGCCUGACGGAGCAACGCCGCGUGGGUGAUGAAGGUCUUCGGAUCUUAAAACUCUGUUAUUAGGGAAGAACAUAUGUGUAAGUAACUGUGCACAUCUUGACGGUACCUAAUCAGAAAGCCACGGCUAACUACGUG
RNAcentral lists this ribosomal RNA (497 nucleotides) under uncultured bacterium. RNAcentral's name for it is "partial 16S ribosomal RNA". It matches the Rfam family "Bacterial small subunit ribosomal RNA", at positions 28 to 507 of the family's 1533-position model. The record is from RNAcentral.